UUAUGCAGUCUCAUUGUAGCCA
This 22-nucleotide non-coding RNA is filed under the name Arabidopsis thaliana (thale cress). The record is from RNAcentral. Lineage: Eukaryota; Viridiplantae; Streptophyta; Magnoliopsida; Brassicales; Brassicaceae.